Molecule: RNA transcript, 2966 nt
Organism: Ailuropoda melanoleuca (giant panda)
Lineage: Eukaryota; Metazoa; Chordata; Mammalia; Carnivora; Ursidae
Gene: RMND1
Gene name: required for meiotic nuclear division 1 homolog
Exons: 12
Source: RefSeq, a predicted model, not a curated record
UGCCGGGCCGACAGUUCUGCGCGCCUGCGCAGUGCGGGCACUGGGACGGUCGCCCGCGCGGCAGUGCAGGCUGCGGGAAGCGGGAGGUUGGGGUGCCGCUUUUGUGUCUUACCUGCAGCCGGGUCGCGGAAGCUUGCGCGCUUGGCACGUCCCUCUUCUUUUCCGGCGGAGAGCUUGGGAUGUGGUAAUGUCAGCCAGACUGUUCAGAGCCUUGGCCGGAUCUCACUGUAUUUUAUCAAAAGUAUGUCAGUGCCGAAGACUUGUUCAUGGAACGUUAAAACCACCCAAAGAAUUGGAGACUACAACAUGCAGCACCAUGAUGAGAAGUCAAAACCUGGAUCCUCAUACGGCAGCUGGUGGUUUGAGUAAGUCCCCGGUCCUGGAAAUGAAUCAGAAAAUCUCAAAUACAAGCAUACUCUCUCCAUUAAAUGCCGUGCAUUGCCAAGAUGAAAAAGUGCACCUUCCAACCAGGAAGUCUUUUGGUACUCACAGGAAAGUGACUCACAAACCCAAUCUAUUAGGUUCUAAGUGGUUUAUAAAAAUAUUAGAGCGGCAUUACUCAUCUCCAUCAACGGAAACAUUUGUUCCUAAACAAGACUUUCCGCAAAUCAAGAGACCACUGAAAGCAUCGAGGACCAGGCAGCCAUCCAGGACCAACCUUCCAGUUCUGUCUGUGAGUGAGGACCUGAUGCACUGCACAGCGUUUGCCACUGCAGACGAAUAUCAUCUCGGGACUCUCUCUCAAGAUCUGGCCUCCCAUGGAUAUGUUGAAGUAACAAGCUUGCCUAGAGAUGCUGCGAAUAUUUUGGUGAUAGGUGUGGAACACUCUGCUAAAGAAGGUGAUCCUGGAACAAUAUUCUUCUUCAGAGAAGGAGCUGCUGUGUUCUGGAAUGUGAAAGACAAAACUAUGAAGCAUGUGAUGCAAGUCUUGGAAAAGCAUGAAAUCCAGCCCUACGAAAUCGCCCUGGUGCACUGGGAAAAUGAAGAGCUUAACUACAUAAAAACAGAGGGACAGUCGAAACUUCACAGAGGGGAAAUCAGAUUAAAUUCGGAGCUAGAUAUAGAUGACGCCGUUCUAGAGAAAUUUGCUUUCUCGAAUGCUCUUUGCCUUUCAGUGAAACUGGCUAUUUGGGAGGCAUCACUGGAUAAAUUUGUUGAGUCUAUUCAGUCAAUUCCAGAGGCUUUAAAAGCUGGGAAGAAAGUGAAACUAUCUCAUGAAGAAGUUAUGCAGAAAAUGGGUGAACUCUUUGCCCUCAGGCACCGUAUAAACUUGAGUUCAGACUUCUUGAUCACUCCCGAUUUCUACUGGGACAGAGAAAACCUGGAACAACUUUAUGAUAAAACUUGUCAGUUCCUUAGCAUUACUCGUAGAGUUAAGGUGUUUCCCGUUGCGUACUAAAUUUCACAUGUCUUCCACACAGACGUAUCUUGUAGGGUCCCUUUGCAAGUCAGUUCUGUGUGUCACUCCACACUAGAAUGUCGGCUCCCUGAGAUCAGAGACUAGCAUUAUUUUCUUCCCUGUUAUCUUCCCAGUUCUUGGCAAGGCCUCACACAGAGCACAUGCUCAGUAAGUAUUUGUAGAAUUCAUCAGUGAUUAAGAUUUCAAAACGAAACCCAUGUAUUCUCCCAGGAAACACUGAACCUUCUCUGUUCUCCAUUUCAGCUCAUGGCAGGACCACUAGCCUCCUCCAUCUGUCCGUCAACCAGAAAACUGAAAGGCAUGGUGGUUUCCUCUUUCUCCUUCACCCUCCACUGCAGUCACACCGUCCUUUCAUUUUCUUCCCAGUGUCAUUUGUUCAUUAACAGAUAUUUAUGGAAAGUCUGUAUGACAGGCCCUUGGCUGGUGAAACUGGGGGGAUACCAUAUUGACCCCUGUUCAGGCCCCCGUCUAUAACGUCCUUAUGCCACUCACCUUCUUCUCUCCCCCAGACCAUUCUCAGACCUUCCUGACUGCCCCCAGCCUCUCCACUGGACCUUUUAGCUGGAAGGCAGACAUGUGUCUGUCUUAUUCACCAUUCCAUCUCCUCUGCCCAACACAGUACAGUCAACACAACCAGUACUUGAAGACUGAACAAAGGACUCCACAUUACCUACAGAAUAAAAUUCCAACGUUGCAGCCUCAUGUAGUAAGUUUCUCUUGCUGCUGUGACAAAUUUCCCCAAACUGGCUUAACACUAAUGUAUUGUAUUACAGCUUUGUAGGUCAGAGGUCUGACAUGAGUCACUGAGCCAAAAUCAAGGUGUUGGCAGGCUGCGUUCCUUUCUGCAGGCUCUGUGUAGGAAAAGGCUCUUUCCUUCCUUUUGCAGUUGCCACAGGCUGCCCACAUUCCUUGGCUUGCAGCCUCUUCAAGUAACAGAGCAUGUGGCGGGGCAUCAGAGCCCGGAAGCUCUGCAGCUCAGCACUAAAGGCAGUGCCAGCUAACAGCAAGUGUGCAGCUGGUCACAUGGUACCGUUUGGGGGUCUGCACAGAAGAGCCUGAACAAUUCUGGAAGGUAAUCAUUGUGUAUAUCAUCUUUUUUUUUUUUUUAAAGAUUUUAUUUGACAGAGACAGCCAGCGAGAGGGAACACAAGCAGGGGGAGUGGGAGAGGAAGAAGCAGCCUCCCAGUGGAGAAACCUGAUGUGGGGCUCGAUCCCAGAACGCUGGGCUCACGCCCUGAGCUGAAGGCAGACGUUUAACGACUGCGCCACCCAGGCGCCCCUGUGUAUAUCAUCUUUUGGGCGUUUCGGCCAUAACACGUUUCAAGUUUGCCUUUCUUAACUACUGAACUCCCAAGGGCAGCUACCAAAAACUAGGACUCAAAACCUUUAGUUUCUACAUCUUCCAUCAAAAUCUUAAGAAUCUGAGAGCUUCAGUAGGUAAAGUACUUCUUGCAGGUCAGCCUGUGCAUUAGAAAGUGUCUCUAGAUGGACUCACAAGAGGCAGGUUAACAUUGGCAGGUGGCCUUGGGGAGAGAAUGGAGCAAGA